This 492-nucleotide ribosomal RNA is filed under the name uncultured bacterium. RNAcentral describes it as "partial 16S ribosomal RNA". It matches the Rfam family "Bacterial small subunit ribosomal RNA", at positions 29 to 507 of the family's 1533-position model. The record is from RNAcentral.
AGUGAACGCUGGCGGUAGGCCUAACACAUGCAAGUCGAACGGCAGCACAGUCAGAGCUUGCUCUUACGGGUGGCGAGUGGCGGACGGGUGAGGAAUACAUCGGAAUCUACUUUUUCGUGGGGGAUAACGUAGGGAAACUUACGCUAAUACCGCAUACGACCUACGGGUGAAAGCAGGGGAUCUUCGGACCUUGCGCGAUUGAAUGAGCCGAUGUCGGAUUAGCUAGUGGGCGGGGUAAAGGCCCACCAAGGCGACGAUCCGUAGCUGGUCUGAGAGGAUGAUCAGCCACACUGGAACUGAGACACGGUCCAGACUCCUGCGGGAGGCAGCAGUGGGGAAUAUUGGACAAUGGGGGCAAGCCUGAUCCAGCCAUACCGCGUGGGGGAAGAAGGCCUUCGGGUUGUAAAGCCCUUUUGUUGGGAAAGAAAAGCAGCAGGUUAAUACCCCGCUGUUCUGACGGUACCCAAAGAAUAAGCACCGGCUAACUUCGUG